UACGAAGGGGGCUAGCGUUGUUCGGAUUUACUGGGCGUAAAGCGCACGUAGGCGGACUAUUAAGUCAGGGGUGAAAUCCCGGGGCUCAACCCCGGAACUGCCUUUGAUACUGGUAGUCUUGAGUUCGAGAGAGGUGAGUGGAAUUCCGAGUGUAGAGGUGAAGUUCGUAGAUAUUCGGAGGAACACCAGUGGCGAAGGCGGCUCACUGGCUCGAUACUGACGCUGAGGUGCGAAAGCGUGGGGAGCAAACAGG
This 253-nucleotide ribosomal RNA is filed under the name uncultured bacterium. Its description in RNAcentral is "partial 16S ribosomal RNA". It matches the Rfam family "Bacterial small subunit ribosomal RNA", at positions 524 to 776 of the family's 1533-position model. The record is from RNAcentral.